RNAcentral lists this ribosomal RNA (277 nucleotides) under uncultured bacterium. RNAcentral's name for it is "partial 16S ribosomal RNA". It matches the Rfam family "Bacterial small subunit ribosomal RNA", at positions 32 to 317 of the family's 1533-position model. The record is from RNAcentral.
AAUCAACGCUGGCGGCGCGCUUAACACAUGCAAGUCGAGCGAGAAAGGGGAGCAAUCCCUGAGUACAGCGGCGUACGGGUGAGUAACACGUGGGUCAUCUACCUCUUUGUGGGGAAUAACCCUGGGAAACCGGGGCUAAUACCGCAUAAGCCUGGAAAGGGAAAGCAAGCAAUUGCGCAGAGAGAGGAGCCCGCGGCCGAUUAGCUAGUUGGUGAGGUAACGGCUCACCAAGGCGACGAUCGGUAGCCGGCCUGAGAGGGCACACGGCCACACUGGC